GACGAACGCUGGCGGCGUGCUUAACACAUGCAAGUCGAACGGUAAGGCCCUUCGGGGUACACGAGUGGCGAACGGGUGAGUAACACGUGGGUGAUCUGCCCUGCACUUCGGGAUAAGCCUGGGAAACUGGGUCUAAUACCGGAUCGGACUCCUGGCUUCCUGGUUGGGGGUGGAAAGCUUUUGCGGUGUGGGAUGGGCCCGCGGCCUAUCAGCUUGUUGGUGGGGUAAUGGCCUACCAAGGCGACGACGGGUAGCCGGCCUGAGAGGGUGACCGGUCACACUGGGACUGAGAUACGGCCCAGACUCCUACGGGAGGCAGCAGUGGGGAAUAUUGCACAAUGGGCGCAAGCCUGGUGCAGCGACGCCGCGUGAGGGAUGACGGCCUUCGGGUUGUAAACCUCUUUCAGCUAUGACGAAGCGCAAGUGACGGUAGUAGCAGAAGAAGGACCGGCCAACUACGUGCCAGCCGCCGCAGUAA
This 478-nucleotide ribosomal RNA is filed under the name uncultured bacterium. RNAcentral's name for it is "partial 16S ribosomal RNA". It matches the Rfam family "Bacterial small subunit ribosomal RNA", at positions 28 to 523 of the family's 1533-position model. The record is from RNAcentral.